GCCGCCGUGAAGGAAGAAGGCUUUCGAGUUGUAAACUUCUUUGACGAGGGACGAAUAAAUGACGGUACCUCGAAAACAAGCCACGGCUAACUACGUGCCAGCAGCCGCGGUAAUACGUAGGUGGCAAGCGUUACCCGGAUUUACUGGGUGUAAAGGGCGUGUAGGCGGGACAGCAAGUCUGACGUGCAAUCUAGGGGCUUAACCCCUAAACUGCGUUGGAAACUGCAGUUCUUGAGUUAUGGAGAGGCAGGCGGAAUUCCUAGUGUAGCGGUGAAAUGCGUAGAUAUUAGGAGGAACACCAGUGGCGAAGGCGGCCUGCUGGACAUACACUGACGCUGAGGCGCGAAAGCGUGGGGAGCAAACAGGAUUAGAUACCCUGGUAGUCCACGCUGUAAACGAUGAAUACUAGGUGUGGGAGGACUAACCCCUUCCGUGCCGGAGCUAACGCAAUAAGUAUUCCACCUGAGUAGUACGAUCGCAAGAUUAAAACUCAAAGGAAUUGACGGGGCCCCGCACAAGCAGUGGAUUAUGUGGUUUAAUUCGAAGCAACGCGAAGAACCUUACCAGGGCUUGACAUGGAGACGACAGGUGUAGAGAUACACCCUUCUUCGGACGUCUCACACAGGUGGUGCAUGGUUGUCGUCAGCUCGUGUCGUGAGAUGUUGGGUUAAGUCCCGCAACGAGCGCAACCC
This 692-nucleotide ribosomal RNA is filed under the name uncultured bacterium. RNAcentral's name for it is "bacterial SSU rRNA". It matches the Rfam family "Bacterial small subunit ribosomal RNA", at positions 396 to 1104 of the family's 1533-position model. The record is from RNAcentral.